This 312-nucleotide long non-coding RNA is filed under the name Brassica rapa (field mustard). RNAcentral's name for it is "long non-coding RNA (BRAP_LNC003313)". The record is from RNAcentral. Lineage: Eukaryota; Viridiplantae; Streptophyta; Magnoliopsida; Brassicales; Brassicaceae.
GAUAAGAGAUUUAUUCCAAGAUCCAAAAGCCUUUCUUGCUUUUAUCAGCUUCCCACUGCAACUUCAGUAGUCAUAAUCUCAGCCUUCACUUGGAUGUUGUUGGAUUCCGGUUUAAUCUCUUCCGGUUUAGCAGCCACAGACACGCAAGAAGCCUUCUCUCCCUCUGCUUCUUCUUUCUUCUCUUCAGGUUUAGCAGCCACAGUAGAAGAAGUCUUCUGUUCCUCUCUUCUCUUCUCUGCUUCUUCUUUCUUCCUUUCUUUGACUUUCACUGACUCAGUCUUUGGCUGAGACUUUGUUAUGGGUUUCUUCAAG